CCUACGGGAGGCAGCAGUGAGGAAUAUUGGUCAAUGGGCGCGAGCCUGAACCAGCCAAGUCGCGUGAGGGAAGACGGUCCUAUGGAUUGUAAACCUCUUUUGUCGGGGAGCAAAAGACGCCACGCAUGGCGCUCCGAGAGUACCCGAAGAAAAAGCAUCGGCUAACUCCGUGCCAGCAGCCGCGGUACUACGGCGGAUGCGAGCGUUACCUGGAUUUAUUGGGUUAAAAGGGUGCGCAGGCGGAAGAUCAAGUCAGCGGUAAAAUUGAGAGUCUCAACCGCUACGAGCCGUUGAAACUGGUUAUCUUGAGUGAGUGAGAAGUAUGCGGAAUGCGAGGUGUAGCGGUGAAAUGCAUAGAUAUCACGCAGAACUCCGAUUGCGAAGGCAGCAUACCGGCGCUCAACUGACGCUCAUGCACGAAAGUGUGGGUAGCGAACAGGAUUAGAUACCCUUGUAGUC
RNAcentral lists this ribosomal RNA (459 nucleotides) under uncultured bacterium. Its description in RNAcentral is "partial 16S ribosomal RNA". It matches the Rfam family "Bacterial small subunit ribosomal RNA", at positions 338 to 795 of the family's 1533-position model. The record is from RNAcentral.